RNAcentral lists this ribosomal RNA (440 nucleotides) under uncultured bacterium. RNAcentral's name for it is "partial 16S ribosomal RNA". It matches the Rfam family "Bacterial small subunit ribosomal RNA", at positions 338 to 795 of the family's 1533-position model. The record is from RNAcentral.
CCUACGGGAGGCAGCAGUAGGGAAUAUUGCUCAAUGGGGGAAACCCUGAAGCAGCAACGCCGCGUGGAGGAUGAAGGUUUUAGGAUUGUAAACUCCUUUUGUUAGAGAAGAUUAUGACGGUAUCUAACGAAUAAGCACCGGCUAACUCCGUGCCAGCAGCCGCGGUAAUACGGAGGGUGCAAGCGUUACUCGGAAUCACUGGGCGUAAAGAGUGCGUAGGCGGGGUAAUAAGUCAGAUGUGAAAUCCUGUAGCUUAACUACAGAACUGCAUUUGAAACUGUUACUCUGGAGUGUGGGAGAGGUAGGUGGAAUUCUUGGUGUAGGGGUAAAAUCCGUAGAGAUCAAGAGGAAUACUCAUUGCGAAGGCGACCUGCUGGAACAUUACUGACGCUGAUGCACGAAAGCGUGGGGAGCAAACAGGAUUAGAUACCCCAGUAGUC